Molecule: transfer RNA, 85 nt
Filed under: Sphingomonas sp.
Lineage: Bacteria; Pseudomonadati; Pseudomonadota; Alphaproteobacteria; Sphingomonadales; Sphingomonadaceae
Also listed under: 8 other names
Description: tRNA-Leu
Rfam family: tRNA
About the family: Transfer RNA (tRNA) molecules are approximately 80 nucleotides in length.
Source: RNAcentral
GCGGGUGUGGUGGAAUUGGUAGACGCGCCGGACUCAAAAUCCGGUUCCGCAAGGAGUGUCGGUUCGAGCCCGACCACCCGCACCA